This 407-nucleotide ribosomal RNA is filed under the name uncultured bacterium. RNAcentral describes it as "partial 16S ribosomal RNA". It matches the Rfam family "Bacterial small subunit ribosomal RNA", at positions 30 to 526 of the family's 1533-position model. The record is from RNAcentral.
AUUGAACGCUGGCGGCAGGCCUAACACAUGCAAGUCGAGCGGAGCGGCGGACGGGUGAGUCAUGCCUAGGAAUCUGCCUGGUCGUGGGGGAUAACGUCCGGAAACGGGCGCUAAUACCGCAUAAUAUCAGAUGAGCCUGGGUCGGAUUAGCUAGUGGGUGGGGUAAAGGCUUACCUAGGCGACGAUCCGUAACUGGUCUGAGAGGAUGAUCAGUCACACUGGAACUGUGACACGGUCCAGACUCCUACGUGAGGCAGCAGUGGUGAAUAUUGGACAAGGGGCGAAAGCCUGAUCCAGCCAUGCCGCGUGUGUGAAGAAGGUCUUCGGAUUGUAAAGCACUUUAAGUUGUGAGGCGUUACCAACAGAAUAAGCACCGGCUAACUUCGUGCCAGCCGCCGCGGUAAUUC